UUAAGUUGGCUGAUUUUCUGCAUGUCAUGUGAAUGCCUUGGAUUUACAUGACCCGCCCGUCUCUCUUCCAUUUUUAUUUCAGAUGUGGUUUCUUUACAGUAGGUUAUAUAUUUUGAUCUUUUUUGUAUCCGAUAUUUUGAUCUUAUUUGUGCACAAUGCUGCAGAAUUCUCUAGUCAACAGGAAAGAUGGUCACUAGGAGGCAACAUGGAGCUUGCGAUUAACUGUGUCACUAGCUGAUGUUGAUGGCUUCUGCAUGCUUCUACGUGUCUGAAACAUGGACAAAACGGCAACUCUAGGAGAUUUCGUUUCUUGGCUUCAUGUUGAGUUGGUUGCAUGUUGCACUCUUUGUAUUGCUGCAACACAAACACCUGUCCUGUAAAUUUCUAGACAAGUUAGGUUCAGUUUAAUUUGUGGUCUGAAUAUGUAGGGCAUGAGUUGGUUGUAUGUAGAAGAAGCAUUUUCGGUUUUUACUUUGGUUGGUACAAUAA
This is a long non-coding RNA of Aegilops tauschii subsp. strangulata, 489 nucleotides long. RefSeq lists it as uncharacterized. NCBI's taxonomy places the organism in Eukaryota, Viridiplantae, Streptophyta, Magnoliopsida, Poales, Poaceae. The record is from RefSeq and is a predicted model, not a curated record.